CAUCUGUCUUGGCAUGCUAAAAGAGGAGAUAAAGAACAGUAGCAAAUAUGCUGCUAGGCCAUUGACCAGCAGUUGGGUACUAAGAAAGGAGAAGCUCUUAUUGACCUGUAAAAUGAAAACAGGACAUUUUCAAAUUGUUUUGUUGUAGGGAUGGGGUACAAGUAGAAGAUUGGUCGAUAUUAUGUACAUGUACCUUGAUAUGAAUUUAUUUUUGAUUGUGUUCAAUGAUAAACUGGAAAUAAAUGAUAACAUAAAUUC
Mytilus californianus (California mussel) is the source of this 258-nucleotide long non-coding RNA. RefSeq lists it as uncharacterized. The record is from RefSeq and is a predicted model, not a curated record. The transcript is spliced from 2 exons. NCBI's taxonomy places the organism in Eukaryota, Metazoa, Mollusca, Bivalvia, Mytilida, Mytilidae.